This 65-nucleotide transfer RNA is filed under the name Urocitellus parryii (Arctic ground squirrel). RNAcentral's name for it is "Spermophilus parryii (Arctic ground squirrel) tRNA". It matches the Rfam family "tRNA". From Rfam's summary of the family: Transfer RNA (tRNA) molecules are approximately 80 nucleotides in length. RNAcentral also lists the same sequence under 1 other name. The record is from Rfam by way of RNAcentral. Lineage: Eukaryota; Metazoa; Chordata; Mammalia; Rodentia; Sciuridae.
GGUGUGGCUCAGCGGUAGAGCGCUAGCCUUGCAUGUGUGAGGCACUGAGUUCAAUCCUCAGCACC